Molecule: ribosomal RNA, 497 nt
Filed under: uncultured bacterium
Lineage: Bacteria
Description: partial 16S ribosomal RNA
Rfam family: Bacterial small subunit ribosomal RNA
Source: RNAcentral
GAUGAACGCUGGCGGCGUGCCUAAUACAUGCAAGUCGAGCGAACGGACGAGAAGCUUGCUUCUCUGAUGUUAGCGGCGGACGGGUGAGUAACACGUGGAUAACCUACCUAUAAGACUGGGAUAACUUCGGGAAACCGGAGCUAAUACCGGAUAAUAUUUUGAACCGCAUGGUUCAAAAGUGAAAGACGGUCUUACUGUCACUUAUAGAUGGAUCCGCGCUGCAUUAGCUAGUUGGUAAGGUAACGGCUUACCAAGGCAAUGAUGCAUAGCCGACCUGAGAGGGUGAUCGGCCACACUGGAACUGAGACACGGUCCAGACUCCUACGGGAGGCAGCAGUAGGGAAUCUUCCGCAAUGGGCGAAAGCCUGACGGAGCAACGCCGCGUGAGUGAUGAAGGUCUUCGGAUCGUAAAACUCUGUUAUUAGGGAAGAACAUAUGUGUAAGUAACUGUGCACAUCUUGACGGUACCUAAUCAGAAAGCCACGGCUAACUACGUG